UGAGUAACACGUAUGCAAUCCACCUGUAACAGGGGGAGUAACCCGGAGAAAUCCGGACUAAUACCCCAUAAUAUGGGCGCUCCGCAUGGAGAGUCCAUUAAAGAGAGCAAUCUUGGUUACAGACGAGCAUGCGCUCCAUUAGCCAGUUGGCGGGGUAACGGCCCACCAAGGCGACGAUGGAUAGGGGUUCUGAGAGGAAGGUCCCCCACAUUGGAACUGAGACACGGUCCAA
This 232-nucleotide ribosomal RNA is filed under the name uncultured bacterium. Its description in RNAcentral is "partial 16S ribosomal RNA". It matches the Rfam family "Bacterial small subunit ribosomal RNA", at positions 107 to 334 of the family's 1533-position model. The record is from RNAcentral.